UACGAAGGGAGCGAGCGUUGUUCGGAAUCACUGGGCUUAAAGCGUACGUAGGCGGCUAUACAAGUCAGAAGUGAAAUCCCGGGGCUUAACCCUGGAAUGCCUUUUGAAACUGUAUAGCUCGAGUCCCGGAGAGGUUGAUGGAAUAUCCAGUGUAGAGGUGAAAUUCGCAGAUAUUGGAUGGAACACCAGUGGCGAAAGCGAUCAACUGGACGGGUACUGACGCUGAGGUACGAAAGCGUGGGGAGCAAAC
Molecule: ribosomal RNA, 250 nt
Filed under: uncultured bacterium
Lineage: Bacteria
Description: partial 16S ribosomal RNA
Rfam family: Bacterial small subunit ribosomal RNA
Source: RNAcentral